Molecule: unclassified non-coding RNA, 750 nt
Filed under: uncultured Synechococcus sp.
Lineage: Bacteria; Bacillati; Cyanobacteriota; Cyanophyceae; Synechococcales; Synechococcaceae
Description: partial contains 16S ribosomal RNA and 16S-23S ribosomal RNA intergenic spacer
Rfam family: Bacterial small subunit ribosomal RNA (bases 1-262)
Source: RNAcentral
CCCAUAAACCGUGGCUCAGUUCAGAUCGUAGGCUGCAACUCGCCUACGUGAAGGCGGAAUCGCUAGUAAUCGCAGGUCAGCAUACUGCGGUGAAUACGUUCCCGGGCCUUGUACACACCGCCCGUCACACCAUGGAAGUUGGCCACGCCCGAAGCCGUUACUCCAACCCUUGUGGAGGAGGACGUCGAAGGUGGGGCUGAUGACUGGGGUGAAGUCGUAACAAGGUAGCCGUACCGGAAGGUGCGGAUGGAUCACCUCCUAACAGGGAGAACCAACCUCAAAUGAUGAUCACCACUUUUUAGUGAUCCAUUUGACUGUUCAUUCCUAUGGUCGAUCGGUACCUCAGUGAGUGUUAAUCACUCAUUCGGUUCUUAAGCUUGUCUAGGUCACCACCCCUUAGCGAUUAAGCUUUGUGGGAUGGGCCCGAGAGGGUUCCUGGGCCAUUAGCUCAGGUGGUUAGAGCGCACCCCUGAUAAGGGUGAGGUCCCUGGUUCAAGUCCAGGAUGGCCCAUCGGGAUUGGGGGUUUAGCUCAGCUGGUAGAGCGCCUGCUUUGCAAGCAGGAUGUCAGGAGUUCGAGUCUCCUAACCUCCACUGACCGAACUUGAUUCCCAUCUCCAAUUUUUUGGAGUUGAGCUCGAUUGGAGUGUGAUUUAGAUGUGUCCGCUGGAUGACCCCAGCUUCCUGUCAUUCCAAGUUUUAGGUUAAAGCCUUGAAUUUGGUUGAUAAGAUGCUGGGCUCGGAUCAAAUGA